UAACUCCGGGCAAGCAGCCGCGGAAAGGCGAAGGGGGCAAGCGUUGUUGGGAAUUACUGGGCGUAAAGCGAGUGUAGGUGGUUGGCGUAGUCAGGGGGGAAAGCCUUGGGCUCAACUCGAGAAAUGCGCUUGAUACUGGGCAGCUAGAGGACCGGGGGGGAUAGGGGAAUUCCCAGUGGAGUGGUGAAAUACGUAGAGAUUGGGAAGAACACCAGUGGCGAAGGCGGCUAUCUGGACGGUUUCUGACACUAAGACUCGAAAGCGUGGGGAGCAAACAGGAUUAGAAACCCCAGUAGUCCAA
RNAcentral lists this ribosomal RNA (301 nucleotides) under uncultured Reyranella sp. RNAcentral's name for it is "bacterial SSU rRNA". It matches the Rfam family "Bacterial small subunit ribosomal RNA", at positions 498 to 798 of the family's 1533-position model. Lineage: Bacteria; Pseudomonadati; Pseudomonadota; Alphaproteobacteria; Hyphomicrobiales; Reyranellaceae. The record is from RNAcentral.